AGGAACCUUACCCGGGCUUAAAUGUUAGCGUGCAUUCCCGUGAAAACGGGAUUUCCUUCGGGACCCGCUACAAGGUGCUGCAUGGUUGUCGUCAGCUCGUGCCGUGAGGUGUCGGGUUAAGUCCCAUAACGAGCGCAACCCCUAUCUUUAGUUGCCAGUCCCGGUUUAACCGGGAGGGACUCUAAAGAAACUGCCCGCGCAAGCGGUGAGGAAGGCGGGGAUGACGUCAAAUCAGCACGGCCCUUAUGUCCGGGGCUACACACGUGCUACAAUGGCCGGUACAGUGGGCAGCUCAUGCGCGAGCAUUUGCUAAUCUCUAAAACCGGUCUCAGUCCGGAUCGGAGUCUGCAACCCGACUCCGUGAAGCUGGAUUCGCUAGUAAUCGCACAUCAGCCAUGGUGCGGUGAAUACGUUCCCGGGCCUUGUACA
RNAcentral lists this ribosomal RNA (429 nucleotides) under uncultured bacterium. RNAcentral describes it as "bacterial SSU rRNA". It matches the Rfam family "Bacterial small subunit ribosomal RNA", at positions 964 to 1387 of the family's 1533-position model. The record is from RNAcentral.